This 123-nucleotide ribosomal RNA is filed under the name Pteropus alecto (black flying fox). RNAcentral also lists the same sequence under 1 other name. The record is from RNAcentral. Lineage: Eukaryota; Metazoa; Chordata; Mammalia; Chiroptera; Pteropodidae.
GUUAAAAAUAAAACUCAAGAAUUGAUCAAUACCCAAUCCCGUUUGAUCUCGAAAACUAAGCAGGGUCGGGCCUGGUUAGUACCUGGAUGGGAGACCACCUAGGAAGAUCGGGCACUGUAGGAG